GAAACAAGCCAGAAUAUUGCAUUCAUUUCAUGAAAGCACAAAUUUUCAGACAGAACUUUGAUGCACAAAACUCAAUCAUACAACUUCAAACGAUACACAAAAAUACUUUUUCAAUGUUUAAGGAAAAAGAACGCCACAGAAAUAUUAGCAAGGCAUAUGAUAGACCUCAGUAACAACAAUUUUGAGUUUAGAUUAGAUUUUAUCAAUGUCUUCAUCCUCAAACUCAAUGUAAUCAUCACCAGCACCCUCAUCCUCUUCAUCAAGACCAUUAGCAAUGCCCUCAUUAAGUCUUGUGUUCUCUGGUAACUCUCCAUAUGCCUUCAAUAACCUGGCCUCAUCAGGCAUGUACUUCAAGAUCACAUCAGCUUUGUCAUCCUGAUAGUCACGUAGGCCAACAAGGAUGAUAUCACCAGCAGCGAUCCAUACUUUCUUAUGCAUCUUACCACGUAUGUGACAAAGACGCUUAGUUCCAUCAAUACACAUAGCUUCACAUCGUCCAUUACCAAGCAUACGAAGGACCUGAGCAUAUUCCUGUCCAUCUUCUUUGAAAACAAGCUCUCUUUUCUCAUCAUCGGCUUCAUUCUUUCCUCUCUUCCUGUUCUUACCUCCCUUACCCUUGUUCUUCGGCAUGGUUGUUCGAUUGAAUCGCUUCUCUCAAACUUCGAUUGGAGAAGGAAGAAACCCUAAAUUGGAAAAAGGGGGCGUUCUUGUUCCUUUUUAUCUGAAUGAUUUUUUUUUGGUUCGC
Molecule: unclassified non-coding RNA, 745 nt
Filed under: Hevea brasiliensis (rubber tree)
Lineage: Eukaryota; Viridiplantae; Streptophyta; Magnoliopsida; Malpighiales; Euphorbiaceae
Source: RNAcentral